AGAGUUUGAUCCUGGCUCAGAUUGAACGCUGGCGGAAUGCUUUACACAUGCAAGUCGAGCGGCAGCGCGGGGCAACCUGGCGGCGAGCGGCGAACGGGUGAGUAAUGCAUCGGAACAUGUCCAUGUCGUGGGGGAUAGCCCGGCGAAAGCCGGAUUAAUACCGCAUACGCCCGAGAGGGGAAAGUGGGGGACCGCAAGGCCUCACGCGAUUGGGUUGGCCGAUGUCCGAUUAGCUAGUUGGCGGGGUAAGAGCCCACCAAGGCGAUGAUCGGUAGCUGGUCUGAGAGGAUGAUCAGCCACACUGGGACUGAGACAUGGCCCAGACUCCUACGGGAGGCAGCAGUGGGGAAUUUUGGACAAUGGGGGAAACCCUGAUCCAACCAUUCCGCGUGAGUGAAGAAGGCCUUCGGGUUGUAAAGCUCUUUUGUCCGGAGCGAAACGGCGAGCGUGAACAUCGCUCGCUACUGACGUACCGAAGAAUAAGCCCCCG
Molecule: ribosomal RNA, 490 nt
Filed under: uncultured soil bacterium
Lineage: Bacteria
Description: bacterial SSU rRNA
Rfam family: Bacterial small subunit ribosomal RNA
Source: RNAcentral